CCCAAACAUUCCAGAUUGUUCUGACAUGAGGUCACCAUCAUGGUUAGUCAGCAGGGUGAGAUGCUGGUGUCGUGAGGGUGGACUAAGGUUUCAUAAUUCAUUCAGAAAGACAUUUGGAUGACCAGGCUAUACCACACCGGGUCUCUCCUCCCAAGCAAGAAUAAUGAAGUUUCUUGUAUUUUCUUAUCUAUCUGGUGCUCAUUCUUGUAUUUGUCCACUUAAAAAUAUUUAUUUGCUCUCCCAGCAUGUGCCAGACCCUAUGCUGUAUAUGCAAUAAAAUGAGACUAAGACCCCUACCAUUAAAUAGCUUACAAUAUUUCAGAGAAGACAGUCAUAGAAGCAGUUAUGAAAAAAUAAAUCAAUUAAGGAAUGCAAUGAGAACACAGUAAAUCAAACAGAAUGCUAUAAGAAAAGGGCACAUGUAUUACUUUCCUGUAGGUACUAGGGUUGGCUUCUCAGAAGAGCUAAAGUCUGGCAUUUGACAGGAAGAGAAGUUGGGCAAAGCCAGUCUUGACAGAGGAAUGGCAUGUUUAAAAGCACUGAAGUAUUCAGGUUACCAUGCAAAGGUAAAAUGGAUGGAACAUCAGACACCUCAUUAUAGAGACAAGCUAGCUCCAAUUCCAAAGUUGGUUGACAGAACAAGUCAUGGUGAGUAUUGUAAUUUUAGUGCUACUGUAUAUCUGCAAGCUGUCUGUGGGUAAAAUGCUUACUAAGCACUGCAUUGGGGCUGUCAGAAUGCUCAUGGGUUGGUAAUUAAAUAAAGACAGUGCUAUGGUUUUGUGGAGCUAAGCCAGUAUUUGUGCACUCUAGAAUAAUCUCUUCUAGGAAGCUUUUACUUUGGAAUUUAAGUUUUGGAGGAAGUACAUUUUACUUUCAUUGAGUAAACUUUCACUAAAAGCACACUUUCUAGGGCCUUUACUGAAAACAUUCAUUUCUGUUUUUCUGUGAUAAGUCAAUGCUCAAUUCACCUAGCAAAGAAGUCAAUUGUCAGCAGUGCUGGCCUUUACAGUUAGUUUUUCCCUCUCUCAAGUUGUAUCGUCAAUUACUAUUUUUAAAACACUCAACAAAAGAUUUGAAAGUAAAUAGAAAGACCUAAAAUAGAGCUGCCGG
Molecule: long non-coding RNA, 1110 nt
Filed under: Macaca mulatta (Rhesus monkey)
Lineage: Eukaryota; Metazoa; Chordata; Mammalia; Primates; Cercopithecidae
Description: lncRNA (ENSMMUG00000060722.1)
Source: RNAcentral